Molecule: long non-coding RNA, 476 nt
Filed under: Nicotiana benthamiana
Lineage: Eukaryota; Viridiplantae; Streptophyta; Magnoliopsida; Solanales; Solanaceae
Description: long non-coding RNA (NBEN_LNC005451)
Source: RNAcentral
UUUUGUUUUGCUUGUUUCCAUUUUUAUCUUUUAUACUCAGUUUUAAUAUGAUGUAUGAUAGAUAUGAUCGUGAAGGAGAGCCAUCGCAAUUAGCUGCUGUUGACAUAUUUGUCAGUACUGUUGAUCCUUUAAAGGAGCCGCCACUUGUUACAGCAAAUACUGUCCUGUCCAUUCUUGCAGUUGACUAUCCUGUUGAUAAGGUAUCUUGUUAUGUUUCUGACGAUGGUGCUGCCAUGCUGACAUUUGAAGCCCUAUCCGAAACGGCGGAGUUUGCAAGGAAAUGGGUUCCUUUCUCUAAAAAGUGUCUGAUGAUGGUGCUGCCAUGUUGACAUUUGAAGCCCUAUCCGAAACGGCUGAGUUUGCAAGGAAAUGGGUUCCAUUCUCUAAAAAGUACGCUAUAGAACCACGAGCUCCAGAGUGGUACUUUUCUCAGAAAGUUGAUUACUUGAAGGAUAAAGUUCAACCAUCAUUUGUAA